Molecule: ribosomal RNA, 465 nt
Filed under: uncultured bacterium
Lineage: Bacteria
Description: partial 16S ribosomal RNA
Rfam family: Bacterial small subunit ribosomal RNA
Source: RNAcentral
CCUACGGGAGGCAGCAGUGGGGAAUAUUGCGCAAUGGGCGAAAGCCUGACGCAGCGACGCCGCGUGAGGGAUGAAGGUCUUCGGAUCGUAAACCUCUGUCAGCAGGGAAGAACGGUCACUGUGCUAAUCAGCAGUGAAUUGACGGUACCUGCAAAGGAAGCACCGGCUAACUCCGUGCCAGCAGCCGCGGUAAUACGGAGGAGGCGAGUGUUAAUCGGAAUUAAUGGGCGUAAAGCGCUCGUAGGCGGUAUGUCAAGUCAAGGGUGAAAUCCCCGCGCUCAACGUGGGAACUGCCUUUGAAACGGGCAAACUGGAGUGUGGUAGAGGAUGGGGGAAUUCCGGGUGUAGGAGUGAAAGCCUUAGAUAUCUGGAGGAACAUCAGUGGCGAAGGCGACUAUCUGGCACAUAACUGACGCUGAGGAGCGAAAGCGUGGGUAGCAAACAGGAUUAGAUACCCUUGUAGUC